CAAGAGAUACAGGAGAGAUAACAGAAUUACACUCAAGUCUGAUAAUGCCAUACAAUUUCAUUGGAAACUGCAAAGAUUGAGGGAAGUUGAAGUAUUCACUCUGUGUGGUGUUCAUUCAGCCAGAUCCUAUUAAGCCUGAGCAUCACAAAUGCUCAUGGGAAAUUGAGAAAACUAUAGUUUAUAGAAGUAAACGGAUCAUUAACCAGAAAUGGGUGUUCUGAAGGUUCACCAAGAUAAGGAAGAAGGCAAGGACUCAGGAGAGCACUAUGUAGGAAUGAAGAUUUGCAUUUGGCUGUAGCUUUCCUUGUGUCAUGGAUCUUAGGAGGAAAGUGUUUUAAUAUGGAAACAGAAGGAUUACAGAACUCUCAGACUUUGAGAAUUCUUGAUUUAACUGAUCAGUCUC
Molecule: long non-coding RNA, 403 nt
Filed under: Homo sapiens (human)
Lineage: Eukaryota; Metazoa; Chordata; Mammalia; Primates; Hominidae
Description: HSALNT0113261
Source: RNAcentral